Molecule: long non-coding RNA, 660 nt
Organism: Pezoporus flaviventris
Lineage: Eukaryota; Metazoa; Chordata; Aves; Psittaciformes; Psittacidae
Exons: 2
Source: RefSeq, a predicted model, not a curated record
CCCCGGCAUGGCGGAGGGGGCGGUGGCGGUUCAGGGAGCGCCUAAGGCCCGCGGGAGCCUCCCGCCGGCAUGGCUGAGCGCGGAGCACCGCUGCCCCGCUUUCCAUCCGGGCCAGGAGGAAGCUGUCCAGAAAAGCUGCUGUUGUACAUCUAACAUCAUCACUGUGUGAACAUGGCUUUUCUGUUCUCUCCAACUAGCCUAGAUGGGAAGACCACAGUAGGUGACACCAAGUACCAAACAGUGGCACCAGCUGCUGAGUAGGUGGGUUGCUGCUGGCAGGGAUAGCUCACUGUAAGACUGGUACCAAUGCUUUGAGAUUCUAGGUUGGUGCAAGAGCUGUGCAGAAAGCUGGAGGGGUUGCAAGCAUUGUGCAGCUGCUUGAUGGGUGCUACUGUAAAAUGAGAAAUCUGAUUGUAUGCUGAAUUCAGGUAUGACGAUACAGUGUAAGGAAACCGCUCUGUCUAGGGAAGAGUGAUAGCUGAACUGCUUUUUUUUUUUUGUAUGGUCUUGCACAAAUUUUCAACAUGGAAAUUGGGGAGCAGCAUAGAUAUUUUUUUUUUUUCCCCACGCAUUUAACAAUUCUUACAGUCUUGCGAUGUUGCCACCUAUGGAUGAAACCUUGGAAUGCUGCUUCAGCAAUAAAAACAUCACUACCAAGUC